Molecule: ribosomal RNA, 508 nt
Filed under: uncultured bacterium
Lineage: Bacteria
Description: partial 16S ribosomal RNA
Rfam family: Bacterial small subunit ribosomal RNA
Source: RNAcentral
AUUGAACGCUGGCGGCAUGCCUUACACAUGCAAGUCGAACGGCAGCGGGGGAGAAGCUUGCUUUUCCUGCCGGCGAGUGGCGAACGGGUGAGUAAUACAUCGGAACGUGCCCUGUAGUGGGGGAUAAUGAGUCGAAAGAUUAGCUAAUACCGCAUACGACCUGAGGGUGAAAGUGGUGGGCCGCAAGGCCUCCUGCUAUAGCAGAGGCCGAUGUCUGAUUAGCUAGUUGGUGUGGUAAAGGCCUACCAAGGCGACGAUCAGUAGCUGGUCUGAGAGGACGAUCAGCCACACUGGGACUGAGACACGGCCCAGACUCCUACGGGAGGCAGCAGUGUGGAAUUUUGGACAAUGGGCGAAAGCCUGAUCCAGCAAUGACGCGUGUGUGAAGAAGGCCUUCGGGUUGUAAAGCACUUUUGUCCGGAAAGAAAUGGCUCUGGUUAAUACCUGGGGUCAAUGACGGUACCGGAAGAAUAAGGACCGGCUAACUACGUGCCAGCCGCCGCAGUAA